UAAUCCUAGUGGCGAACGGGUGAGUAACGCGUGAGUAACCUGCCUCAUACAACGGGAUACCCGAGGGAAACUUCGGUUAAUACGGUAUAAGACCACACUACCGCAUGGUAGAGGGGUAAAAGGGGCAACCUGGUAUGAGAUGGACUCGCGUCGCAUUAGCUAGUUGGUGAGGUAACGGCCCACCAAGGCGACGAUGCGUAGCCGACCUGAGAGGGUGAUCGGCCACAUUGGGACUGAGAUACGGCCCAGACUCCUACGGGAGGCAGCAG
Molecule: ribosomal RNA, 269 nt
Filed under: uncultured bacterium
Lineage: Bacteria
Description: partial 16S ribosomal RNA
Rfam family: Bacterial small subunit ribosomal RNA
Source: RNAcentral